CGGAAGGAUCAUUGUCAAAUCCUCGUACCGAAUGACCUGCGAACACGUUCCGAAAAUCACAAGCGCUGUUGCGCCCUUGCUCGGUGUGGGUCGGUGACUUGUUGCCGGACGCGUCGAGCAUCGAAAACAAAAUCCGGCGCGGGAAGCGCCAAGGACUAGCGAAAUAGAGGACGGCCUUCCCGCGGCAUCCUGGCCGCGGGGAUUAAAAAGGGUCUCCAAAUGAAAAUGUUGUAUAAUACAGUACGACUCUCGGCAACGGAUAUCUAGGCUCUCGCAUCGAUGAAGAACGUAGCAAACUGCGAUAGUUGGUGUGAAUUGCAGAAUCCCGUGAACCAUGGAGUCUUUGAACGCAAGUUGCGCCCGAAGCCAUUAGGCCGAGGGCACGUCUGCCUGGGCGUCACACGCAUUGCGUCGUCCCCCCCUCACCCGUGUCCCGAAAGGGUCGCGGGCCCUUAGCGUGGGGGGCGGAAGUUGGCUUCCCGUGCAGCGUUUGCGGCUAGCCUGAAACAACGGUUCCCUCGGCGCGGACGUCGCGACAAGUGGUGGUCGUCGAGAUUGUACGCGAGUUGCCGGCAAGCUGCGUCGAGGAGAGCAUUUGGACCCCGUGCGAGACGAGUCCCUUCAGCGAGGGGCAAUCGCAACGAUUGCGACCCCAGGUCAGGC
RNAcentral lists this small RNA (663 nucleotides) under Vincetoxicum bungei. Its description in RNAcentral is "eukaryotic LSU rRNA". The stretch from base 245 to 400 matches the Rfam family "5.8S ribosomal RNA". The record is from RNAcentral. Lineage: Eukaryota; Viridiplantae; Streptophyta; Magnoliopsida; Gentianales; Apocynaceae.